This 63-nucleotide transfer RNA is filed under the name Pachydactylus scherzi. RNAcentral's name for it is "tRNA-Cys". Lineage: Eukaryota; Metazoa; Chordata; Lepidosauria; Squamata; Gekkonidae. The record is from RNAcentral.
AAGCCCCGGCACCUCUUAGGGUGCUCCUCCAAACUUGCAUUUCGGUGUGCUUACACCACGGGG